This 367-nucleotide long non-coding RNA is filed under the name Zonotrichia albicollis (white-throated sparrow). RNAcentral's name for it is "lncRNA (ENSZALG00000016140.1)". Lineage: Eukaryota; Metazoa; Chordata; Aves; Passeriformes; Passerellidae. The record is from RNAcentral.
AUGCUGAGAGAAGUGGUAAAGCUCUCUGUCCAGCACCUGCCUUGUGCCCUCUGUGUCUCAGCGGGUGCCCAGUUCAGCAGCAGCAGUCGUGGUCCUUGGCUCAUCUGGCAGAAGAAAUUCAGUGUCAUCACCCAAAAAGCAGCUGACUGGUGGAAAUCUGUAUGUCUUUGUUCCUGGUCAGAAUGUCAGAAUCUAGGAUACUGCAGGCAAGGAUUACUUCCAGUGCACCAGAUAGAGGAAAUCACAGCUUUGUUUCAGAGAGGUUCACAGUGAGAGCUGUUGCUUCCUUGAACUCAGCCUUAUCUAAAGAAAAGGUAAUGUAUUCCCUGACUCAUUUUCUUUCAAAUAAAUUUAACCUUUUCUAGCA